This 82-nucleotide unclassified non-coding RNA is filed under the name Plasmid ColE1. RNAcentral's name for it is "partial miscellaneous RNA". The record is from RNAcentral.
ACUGACUGAGAUACCAACAGCGUGAGCUAUGAGAAAGCGCCACGCUUCCCGAAGGGAGAAAGGCGGACAGGUAUCCGGCGGU